This 1282-nucleotide ribosomal RNA is filed under the name Acinetobacter sp. EN-5. RNAcentral's name for it is "bacterial SSU rRNA". It matches the Rfam family "Bacterial small subunit ribosomal RNA", at positions 56 to 1331 of the family's 1533-position model. The record is from RNAcentral. Lineage: Bacteria; Pseudomonadati; Pseudomonadota; Gammaproteobacteria; Moraxellales; Moraxellaceae.
UGCAAGUCGAGCGGGGGAAGGUAGCUUGCUACUGGACCUAGCGGCGGACGGGUGAGUAAUGCUUAGGAAUCUGCCUAUUAGUGGGGGACAACAUCUCGAAAGGGAUGCUAAUACCGCAUACGUCCUACGGGAGAAAGCAGGGGAUCUUCGGACCUUGCGCUAAUAGAUGAGCCUAAGUCGGAUUAGCUAGUUGGUGGGGUAAAGGCCUACCAAGGCGACGAUCUGUAGCGGGUCUGAGAGGAUGAUCCGCCACACUGGGACUGAGACACGGCCCAGACUCCUACGGGAGGCAGCAGUGGGGAAUAUUGGACAAUGGGCGCAAGCCUGAUCCAGCCAUGCCGCGUGUGUGAAGAAGGCCUUAUGGUUGUAAAGCACUUUAAGCGAGGAGGAGGCUACUUUAGAUAAUACCUAGAGAUAGUGGACGUUACUCGCAGAAUAAGCACCGGCUAACUCUGUGCCAGCAGCCGCGGUAAUACAGAGGGUGCAAGCGUUAAUCGGAUUUACUGGGCGUAAAGCGCGCGUAGGCGGCUAAUUAAGUCAAAUGUGAAAUCCCCGAGCUUAACUUGGGAAUUGCAUUCGAUACUGGUUAGCUAGAGUGUGGGAGAGGAUGGUAGAAUUCCAGGUGUAGCGGUGAAAUGCGUAGAGAUCUGGAGGAAUACCGAUGGCGAAGGCAGCCAUCUGGCCUAACACUGACGCUGAGGUGCGAAAGCAUGGGGAGCAAACAGGAUUAGAUACCCUGGUAGUCCAUGCCGUAAACGAUGUCUACUAGCCGUUGGGGCCUUUGAGGCUUUAGUGGCGCAGCUAACGCGAUAAGUAGACCGCCUGGGGAGUACGGUCGCAAGACUAAAACUCAAAUGAAUUGACGGGGGCCCGCACAAGCGGUGGAGCAUGUGGUUUAAUUCGAUGCAACGCGAAGAACCUUACCUGGCCUUGACAUAGUAAGAACUUUCCAGAGAUGGAUUGGUGCCUUCGGGAACUUACAUACAGGUGCUGCAUGGCUGUCGUCAGCUCGUGUCGUGAGAUGUUGGGUUAAGUCCCGCAACGAGCGCAACCCUUUUCCUUAUUUGCCAGCGAGUAAUGUCGGGAACUUUAAGGAUACUGCCAGUGACAAACUGGAGGAAGGCGGGGACGACGUCAAGUCAUCAUGGCCCUUACGGCCAGGGCUACACACGUGCUACAAUGGUCGGUACAAAGGGUUGCUAACACAGCGAUGUGAUGCUAAUCUCAAAAAGCCGAUCGUAGUCCGGAUUGGAGUCUGCAACUCGACUCCAUGAAGUCGGAA